Molecule: long non-coding RNA, 367 nt
Organism: Saccostrea cuccullata (small rock oyster)
Lineage: Eukaryota; Metazoa; Mollusca; Bivalvia; Ostreida; Ostreidae
Exons: 3
Source: RefSeq, a predicted model, not a curated record
CUGAUGGAUUGGAUCUUUGUAAUAAGUCUUUGUUUACUGGCUUUAAAUACGUGUAUGGCAUGUCCUGCGUCAAUAGAAACACUAAUCUACGUCCCAUCCUGCCCAAAGACUCUCGAGGAAUGGAGACUACGAGCAGAAUCCAAGAGGUGUUCACAUGUGAUGCAGAACUGCACAAGUCAGCAAAAUUUUGUCUAUCACUGUGUGAUCAACAAUUUCGCUAAUGCAACAAUGGAGGUUUGUGCAAAGGAGAUCCACAUCAUCGACAACAGAUGUACUGAGUUUAAUAUCAAAGCCGAAAAAAUAAUAGAAAGCUACACAAAACGAUGUCAGGGAUAUUGUCCAUUUAAAUACAACUCUACAGAAGCCU